This 581-nucleotide ribosomal RNA is filed under the name Staphylococcus epidermidis. RNAcentral describes it as "bacterial SSU rRNA". It matches the Rfam family "Bacterial small subunit ribosomal RNA", at positions 1 to 564 of the family's 1533-position model. The record is from RNAcentral. Lineage: Bacteria; Bacillati; Bacillota; Bacilli; Caryophanales; Staphylococcaceae.
UUUAUGGAGAGUUUGAUCCUGGCUCAGGAUGAACGCUGGCGGCGUGCCUAAUACAUGCAAGUCGAGCGAACAGACGAGGAGCUUGCUCCUCUGACGUUAGCGGCGGACGGGUGAGUAACACGUGGAUAACCUACCUAUAAGACUGGGAUAACUUCGGGAAACCGGAGCUAAUACCGGAUAAUAUAUUGAACCGCAUGGUUCAAUAGUGAAAGACGGUUUUGCUGUCACUUAUAGAUGGAUCCGCGCCGCAUUAGCUAGUUGGUAAGGUAACGGCUUACCAAGGCAACGAUGCGUAGCCGACCUGAGAGGGUGAUCGGCCACACUGGAACUGAGACACGGUCCAGACUCCUACGGGAGGCAGCAGUAGGGAAUCUUCCGCAAUGGGCGAAAGCCUGACGGAGCAACGCCGCGUGAGUGAUGAAGGUCUUCGGAUCGUAAAACUCUGUUAUUAGGGAAGAACAAAUGUGUAAGUAACUAUGCACGUCUUGACGGUACCUAAUCAGAAAGCCACGGCUAACUACGUGCCAGCAGCCGCGGUAAUACGUAGGUGGCAAGCGUUAUCCGGAAUUAUUGGGCGUAAA